AGGCUCCACCGACAAUUGAACUCGGAUCGCUGGAUUCAGAUUUCAGAGAGCUAACCAUUACACCAUGGAACC
RNAcentral lists this transfer RNA (72 nucleotides) under Araneus ventricosus. RNAcentral's name for it is "tRNA-Gln". The record is from RNAcentral. Lineage: Eukaryota; Metazoa; Arthropoda; Arachnida; Araneae; Araneidae.